UAGGGAAUCUUCGGCAAUGGACGGAAGUCUGACCGAGCAACGCCGCGUGAGUGAAGAAGGUUUUCGGAUCGUAAAGCUCUGUUGUAAGAGAAGAACGAGUGUGAGAGUGGAAAGUUCACACUGUGACGGUAUCUUACCAGAAAGGGACGGCUAACUACGUGCCAGCAGCCGCGGUAAUACGUAGGUCCCGAGCGUUGUCCGGAUUUAUUGGGCGUAAAGCGAGCGCAGGCGGUUAGAUAAGUCUGAAGUUAAAGGCUGUGGCUUAACCAUAGUAGGCUUUGGAAACUGUUUAACUUGAGUGCAAGAGGGGAGAGUGGAAUUCCAUGUGUAGCGGUGAAAUGCGUAGAUAUAUGGAGGAACACCGGUGGCGAAAGCGGCUCUCUGGCUUGUAACUGACGCUGAGGCUCGAAAGCGUGGGGAGCAAACAGGAUUAGAUACCCUGGUAGUCCACGCUGUAAACGAUGAGUGCUAGGUGNNNNNCCUUUCCGGGGUUUAGUGCCGUAGCUAACGCAUUAAGCACUUCGCCUGGGGAGUACGACCGCAAGGUUG
Molecule: ribosomal RNA, 549 nt
Filed under: uncultured bacterium
Lineage: Bacteria
Description: bacterial SSU rRNA
Rfam family: Bacterial small subunit ribosomal RNA
Source: RNAcentral